Non-coding RNA from Paramuricea clavata, 1143 nucleotides. NCBI's taxonomy places the organism in Eukaryota, Metazoa, Cnidaria, Anthozoa, Malacalcyonacea, Plexauridae. The record is from the annotation of a GenBank genome assembly.
AAGUGUACUUUAUUUCUAUUUCAAGAUACGUCUUUCCAUUGGUCUUGAAAACAGCGAAGAUUUAAUCAAUGAUUUAGAUGAAGCACUGAAAGCUGCAUGUGGUAAGUGAUUUACAUAGUCGUACUGAUGGAACGCCCAAAUAGUGAGAUAUGACUUCUUGUUAUAAGUUGUUGUGGUAGUACAAGUAAAUACUGGAACCAACCUAAACCCCAGAUGAAGAUCCCCAAAUCUCCAGAAUACUGAAUAACGCUCUACCAAUCGAGGUUUGGAUUCGAAUGUAAAGGAACAAAUGUAAAAUUAUUCUUUUCGCAUUAAGACCAAAAUAUUAGAAAACACCGUAAAAUCGAGCAGAUUCUGCGCAGAUUCUGCGCAGAUUCUGCGCAGAUUCUGCGCAGAUUCUGCGGAUGUGCAGAUUCUGCGGCUUGCCGUUUUGCCGCUCUCAAACGUGAAGCGUAAACCAACACUAUAAACUUGGGACAACUUGUCACCAGUACUCAGUUUAAAUAUCCAAGUUUACGCUUCCAAAACGUACAGGAGUCCAAUUAACGCUCAAUAGGUGGAGCGUUGGGCUAGCAUUCCGGUAUGGCAGACGGUCUACCUGCAUGCAUUGGGCUGGAUCCCCCUUGGUCUUGGGUGUAUUGAGGGGGGAGGGGUGCUGAUCAUGCUUAGAUCUAAAGAUCCCUGGAUCCAAAAAUAGGGAAAUUAGUCCUGACUCUGCAAGGCUAGAUGGUGCCCCACCCUCUCCGAAAACCCACCCCAGACUGUUACUUUUUCUGCCCUCUGUAUUUUAUUAACAUAAACUUACAUUUUGUGCUUUUGUAUAGCUUAAAGUAAUUUGUGUACAUGAUGUGCUUGAAGAUCAAAAUUAUCUUUAUUAACUGGAAAUUCAAUAGUAUAUAUCAGAUAUUAAAUCUCACCAGCCUAAAGGCUCUAACAACUAAAAAAUGUCAAUGUAUUUAAGAUAUAAACUAACUAGCGUUUGUAUUUACUGUAGUAAAUUAUUUAAAAACACAUAGAAUAUCACCCUUGAGAGAUGACUUUAGGACAUGGAUUGUAUUAACUUCAGUUCAUUAUACAUGGAUUUAUUGUACUGGAUUGGACUGGCAUGUAAUAAGAGGAAAAUAAGAAAAUGCUUAAUGGUGU